This is a non-coding RNA of Podarcis lilfordi (Lilford's wall lizard), 785 nucleotides long. The record is from the annotation of a GenBank genome assembly. NCBI's taxonomy places the organism in Eukaryota, Metazoa, Chordata, Lepidosauria, Squamata, Lacertidae.
AACACACACAAAAAACAAUACAAAACUUAACAAUAAAAACACAAAACAUAGCAAUUAAAAACAAACUCUCUUUUCCAUUUCCAAUUUUAAAUUACUUAUUUUCUGGACUUCCUCAUACCUCCCUCUUUUGUAUUCCAAUCUACAUUGUUUGUCCAGCAGUUUCUUUUCCACUUUUUUAAUCCCGAUCUUUAAUUUAAUAAAACGUUAAGAUAUAUAACUUCAACUUUUUUAAACCUAAUCCUUGAUCUUAAUGUCAUAUAACUUUAAAUUUUUCCCUUUUAUUAUCAAAUUUCCAUUUCUUUAAACAUCUUUAAUCUUGAUCUUUAAUCUUAAUCUAUCCUUAACUUUAACCUGUACAGCUGGAAACCACUUGUUUUCAGUCCAACAUCACUCUAACAUUCCUUAAUUUUGCAGUGUUUCUGAAGAUAGUCUUUGAAUUUCUUCCAGUCUUCCUCCAUCGACUCUUCUCCCUGGUCACGGAUUCUACCAGUCAUUUCCGCCAAUUCCAUAUAGUCCAUAAGUUUCAUCUGCCAUUCCUCCAGCGUGGGAAGUUCUUGUGUCUUCCAAUACUUUGCGAUGAGUAUUCUUGCUGCUGUUGUUGCAUACAUAAAGAAAGUUCUAUCCUUUUUUAACACCAUUUGGCCUACUAUGCCCAGGAGAAAGGCCUCUGGUUUCUUAGGGAAGGUAUACUUAAAUACCUUUUUAAUUCAUUAUAUAUCAUUUCCCAGAAAGCCUUAAUCUUUGGGCACGUCCACCAAAGGUGAAAAAAUGUACCUUCAGUUUCU